AUUGAACGCUGGCGGCAUGCCUUACACAUGCAAGUCGAACGGCAGCAUGGAAGAGCUUGCUCUUCUGAUGGCGAGUGGCGAACGGGUGAGUAAAGCAUCGGAACGUACCGUGUAGUGGGGGAUAACGUAGCGAAAGUUACGCUAAUACCGCAUACGCACUGAGGUGGAAAGCAGGGGAUCGCAAGACCUUGCGCUAUACGAGCGGCCGAUGUCAGAUUAGCUAGUUGGUAGGGUAAAGGCCUACCAAGGCGACGAUCUGUAGCGGGUCUGAGAGGACGACCAGCCACACUGGGACUGAGACACGGCCCAGACUCCUACGGGAGGCAGCAGUGGGGAAUUUUGGACAAUGGGCGCAAGCCUGAUCCAGCAAUGCCGCGUGCAGGAAGAAGGCC
Molecule: ribosomal RNA, 392 nt
Filed under: uncultured bacterium
Lineage: Bacteria
Description: bacterial SSU rRNA
Rfam family: Bacterial small subunit ribosomal RNA
Source: RNAcentral